UACGUAGGUGGCAAGCGUUGUCCGGAUUUACUGGGCGUAAAGAGCGCGCAGGCGGUUGGUCAAGUCGCGUGUGAAAGCCCCCGGCUCAACUGGGGAGGGUCACGCGAUACUGGUCGACUCGAAGGCAGGAGAGGGUAGUGGAAUUCCCGGUGUAGUGGUGAAAUUCGUAGAUAUCGGGAGGAACACCGGUGGCGAAGGCGGCGACCUGGGACAAUACUGACGCUGAGGUGCGAAAGCGUGGGGAGCAAACAGG
RNAcentral lists this ribosomal RNA (253 nucleotides) under uncultured bacterium. Its description in RNAcentral is "partial 16S ribosomal RNA". It matches the Rfam family "Bacterial small subunit ribosomal RNA", at positions 524 to 776 of the family's 1533-position model. The record is from RNAcentral.